UAGGACACAGGAAUCCACUCUGUGCCGAGAGGAAAUAUUUAUAAAUCUUAAGAGGUUUAAAUUUAAGUCUCAAAACCUUAAAACUGAGACUGAAUGCAUUUUUGAUAUAAUUAUUAUAGUUUUACUAAGUUUAAUUUCUUUUUCCAAACCCUAACUAAAAGCAAAUGCAAAAGGAAUAGCGACGAUGAAUGGAUCAGGCCAAUUACUUGGGUAUAAAUCUUAUCUCUUUUCAAGUUCAAGCUCAUUCUCUUUAUUCUUUCAUCUUCCCCAGGUAGCUUGAUUAAAGGCAAACCUCUACUGUUAUAUUCGCCUUCCUGUCAAUGCCAAGGUCAAGAAACUGAUGGCCUCUGGUGUUCCAGACCGGGCAGCCUUGAAUCUACAGAACCUGAAUGAUGAACACACAGUUGAGAAACUGAGCAACUAGGAACUUCAUAUCAAUAGAAGGCAUCUCAUAUUCUCUGGGACCUAAAAGGACCAGGAAUAGUAAUGAGCCUAGUAUCAGGCCCAAGGAAGAGGCUGCUGAGAUCACCUGGGGCACUGUAGCUUUGAAGACAGCCCUCUUGGGUCAGUGCCGGAGGGUGAACCUGUUGGAUGUCCAUCUCACAUGCUCCCCUUCACAGGACAGAUCAGCAGUCAGAAUGCCUUCAUCUCUACGGCACACUUUGCACUACUUAAUAACCUGGUGAUGUGUUUACAUUCACAUUCCCACCCCUGCGGUGAAGGCUUCCAGGUAGCCACCCAGGCUCCCAAUGAAGACAGAUGGGAACACUUUUCCCUUGUCUAUGAGCUUCUCAGUGGGAAUCAGGAUUGUGUUCUGUUAGCAUUUGUCUAUUUUGCAGGCUCCUACUUAGAGCCCUGGCAGCACAAUUGAUACUCCUCUUCCCACUGAACCUGAGCUGCUGCCUCAAAGAAGUCUUUGUGAGAAGAGGUGUGUAUUAAGGAACAAGGACAAGCAAACCAUUGGAACCUCAGAUUCAGCGACCCCUUCUCUACACAGGUGGUCCUACUUCCUUGCUGCUUCUGCAGAGUCCUCAUUCUAAAAUCAAUCACAACAAAGAACCAAAACAACAGUAGAAAUAGAAGCUCAACAAAACCUGGGAACCAGAGUAAAGUGAUAAUGACCCCCAUCCUACAUCAUCUACCGUUCUCCUACCGAUGGCUCCUUUAAGAACAUCACCUCUCAUCCAGUUGUCCCAGGGGCUGCCAAACAUCAGCACAAUUUUCAAAAUAAUGCUUGCAAGGUAGGAAAUCAUCUGUGCAUUAACCUCUGCUAACAUCUCAGAGCCACUGUAGCAGUGCUUUUGUGUGUGGGAUAAAAGGCAUGUGACAAAUUUGGCCAUCUUACCCCUUUGUAAGCAUGUGGUACAGCGGUGUUCUGUGCAGCAGAUCUCUAUGACUUUUUCAUCUUGCAAAAUGGAAAUGCUAAUCCAUUGAACAACUCCUCUUUCUCCUCACCCCUACCUCCUGGCAACCACAUUAUACUUUCUAAGAGUGUGAUGACCUUAGAUGCCUCAUGGAAGUGAAAUCAUGCAAGAUUUGUCUUUUUGUAAUUAGCUCUUUUCAUUUGGCACAAUGUCUUCAAGGUUCCACAAGGCUGUAGUGCAGGACAGGAUUUCCUUAUGGCUAGAUAAUGUUUGGUGGUGGGAAUGUGCCACAUUUUCUUAAACUGUUUAUCCACUGAUGGACAUUGAGGUUGUUCCCUUGGCUACUGUGAAUAAAAUUGCAGCGAAUGCAUGUAUGCAGCCAUGGCCUUUGAGAUCCUAUUUUCAAGUAUUUUGGAUAUAAGCCCAGAAGUAGGAUUGCAAUAUUGCAUGGUAACUCUACUUGAAAAUUUU
This 1835-nucleotide long non-coding RNA is filed under the name Ictidomys tridecemlineatus (thirteen-lined ground squirrel). RNAcentral's name for it is "lncRNA (ENSSTOG00000034326.1)". The record is from RNAcentral. Lineage: Eukaryota; Metazoa; Chordata; Mammalia; Rodentia; Sciuridae.